AUUGAACGCUGGCGGCAGGCCUAACACAUGCAAGUCGAGCGGAAACGAGAAUAGCUUGCUAUUCGGCGUCGAGCGGCGGACGGGUGAGUAAUGCCUGGGAAAUUGCCCUGAUGUGGGGGAUAACCAUUGGAAACGAUGGCUAAUACCGCAUAAUAGCUUCGGCUUAAAGAGGGGGACCUUCGGGCCUCUCGCUUCAGGAUAUGCCCAGGUGGGAUUAGCUAGUUGGUGAGGUAAAGGCUCACCAAGGCGACGAUCCCUAGCUGGUUUGAGAGGAUGAUCAGCCACACUGGAACUGAGACGCGGUCCAGACUCCUACGGGAGGCAGCAGUGGGGAAUAUUGCACAAUGGGCGCAAGCCUGAUGCAGCCAUGCCGCGUGUAUGAAGAGGGCCUUCGGGUUGUAAAGUACUUUCAGCAGUGAGGAAGGGUGUGUAGUUAAUAGCUGCAUACUUUGACGUUAGCUGCAGAAGAAGCACCGGCUAACUCCGUGCCAGCAGCCGCGGUAAUACGGAGGGUGCGAGCGUUAAUCGGAAUUACUGGGCGUAAAGCGCAUGCAGGUGGUUUGUUAAGUCAGAUGUGAAAGCCCGGGGCUCAACCUCGGAACCGCAUUUGAAACUGGCAGGCUAGAGUACUGUAGAGGGGGGUAGAAUUUCA
Molecule: ribosomal RNA, 652 nt
Filed under: uncultured Vibrionaceae bacterium
Lineage: Bacteria; Pseudomonadati; Pseudomonadota; Gammaproteobacteria; Vibrionales; Vibrionaceae
Description: bacterial SSU rRNA
Rfam family: Bacterial small subunit ribosomal RNA
Source: RNAcentral